GAUGUUUCUCAGCAUCAGUCAUCCCAGGAAACGUCCAGUACAGCUAACAGUGACGCUCCACCCAACACAGCAAGGGCGAGGACCACGGUCAGGCCGGACUAUGAGCGCCAGAGCAGCGGGAACUGCACCAUGACAGCUCUUGACGAUGUGCCCUUCGUGAUCUCUGAGAAGUUUUAUGGAAAUCCCAAAGAG
Perca flavescens (yellow perch) is the source of this 192-nucleotide long non-coding RNA. RefSeq lists it as uncharacterized. Lineage: Eukaryota; Metazoa; Chordata; Actinopteri; Perciformes; Percidae. The transcript has 3 exons. The record is from RefSeq and is a predicted model, not a curated record.